CGGUUCCGCUGUCGGUUCGCCGCCCGUCGGUGUCAACUGGCAUGUCCUGGUGGAACGUCCUGCCGGUGGCGGUCCGGGCUUUCGGCUUGCGUAAGGGCUCACGCCCGAAGCAGGCCGAACAGUACCGGCCGCCGGUCCAAUCCCGCCACGGUGCUCUUCACCGAGUGUCGAGGUGGGCCGGCACGUUUACUUUGAACAAAUUAGAGUGCUUAAAGCAGGCUGGUGUCCGCCUGAAUACUGUGUGCAUGGAAUAAUAGAAUAGGACCUCGGUUCUAUUUUGUUGGUUUUCGGAACCCGAGGUAAUGAUUAAUAGGGACAGGCGGGGGCAUUCGUAUUGCGACGUUAGAGGUGAAAUUCUUGGAUCGUCGCAAGACGAACCUAAGCGAAAGCAUUUGCCAAGUAUGUUCUCGUUAAUCAAGAACGAAAGUUAGAGGUUCGAAGGCGAUCAGAUACCGCCCUAGUUCUAACCAUAAACGAUGCCAGCCAGCGAUCCGCCGAAGUUCCUCCGAUGACUCGGCGGGCAGCUUCCGGGAAACCAAAGCUUUUGGGUUCCGGGGGAAGUAUGGUUGCAAAGCUGAAACUUAAAGGAAUUGACGGAAGGGCACCACCAGGAGUGGAGCCUGCGGCUUAAUUUGACUCAACACGGGAAACCUCACCAGGCCCGGACACCGGAAGGAUUGACAGAUUGAGAGCUCUUUCUUGAUUCGGUGGGUGGUGGUGCAUGGCCGUUCUUAGUU
Molecule: ribosomal RNA, 737 nt
Filed under: Prosapia simulans
Lineage: Eukaryota; Metazoa; Arthropoda; Insecta; Hemiptera; Cercopidae
Description: SSU rRNA
Rfam family: Eukaryotic small subunit ribosomal RNA
Source: RNAcentral